Molecule: ribosomal RNA, 253 nt
Filed under: uncultured bacterium
Lineage: Bacteria
Description: partial 16S ribosomal RNA
Rfam family: Bacterial small subunit ribosomal RNA
Source: RNAcentral
UACGUAGGGGGCAAGCGUUGUCCGGAUUUAUUGGGCGUAAAGAGCGUGUAGGCGGCUUUACAGGUCCGUUGUGAAAACUCGAGGCUCAACCUCGAGACGCCGGUGGAAACCGUAAAGCUAGAGUCCGGAAGAGGAGAGUGGAAUUCCUGGUGUAGCGGUGAAAUGCGCAGAUAUCAGGAAGAACACCCGUGGCGAAGGCGGCUCUCUGGUACGUGACUGACGCUGAGACGCGAAAGCGUGGGGAGCGAACAGG